Molecule: small nuclear RNA, 163 nt
Filed under: Carlito syrichta (Philippine tarsier)
Lineage: Eukaryota; Metazoa; Chordata; Mammalia; Primates; Tarsiidae
Description: U1 spliceosomal RNA (ENSTSYG00000034846.1)
Rfam family: U1 spliceosomal RNA
About the family: U1 is a small nuclear RNA (snRNA) component of the spliceosome (involved in pre-mRNA splicing). Its 5' end forms complementary base pairs with the 5' splice junction, thus defining the 5' donor site of an intron.
Source: Rfam by way of RNAcentral
GCACUUGUCUGGCUAGAGGAGGCACCAUGAUCACGAAGAUGGUUUUCCCAGGGCGAGGCUUCUCCAUUGCACUCCAGAUGUGCUGACCCCUGUGAUUUCCCCAAAUGUUGGAAGUUCAAUUGCAUAAUUUGUAGUAGUGAGGAGCUGCGUUCGCACUCUCUCC